RNAcentral lists this transfer RNA (87 nucleotides) under Chitinivibrionales bacterium. RNAcentral's name for it is "tRNA-Leu". It matches the Rfam family "tRNA". From Rfam's summary of the family: Transfer RNA (tRNA) molecules are approximately 80 nucleotides in length. Their secondary structure includes four short double-helical elements and three loops (D, anti-codon, and T loops). The record is from RNAcentral. Lineage: Bacteria; Pseudomonadati; Fibrobacterota; Chitinivibrionia; Chitinivibrionales.
GCCGAAGUGAUGGAAUUGGUAGACGUGACGGACUCAAAAUCCGUUUGGGGCGACCCAGUGGGGGUUCGAGUCCCCCCUUCGGCACCA